GCGUUGUCCGGAAUUAUUGGGCGUAAAGAGCUCGUAGGCGGUCCAUCGCGUCGGGAGUGAAAAGCUGGGGCUUAACCCCAGUCCUGCUUCCGAUACGGGUGGACUAGAGGUAGGUAGGGGAGAUCGGAAUUCCUAGUGUAGCGGUGAAAUGCGCAGAGAUCAGGAGGAACACCGGUGGUGAAGGCGGAUCUCUGGCCCUUUCCUGACGCUGAGGAGCGAAAGCAUG
This 226-nucleotide ribosomal RNA is filed under the name uncultured bacterium. RNAcentral's name for it is "partial 16S ribosomal RNA". It matches the Rfam family "Bacterial small subunit ribosomal RNA", at positions 538 to 763 of the family's 1533-position model. The record is from RNAcentral.